This 114-nucleotide small RNA is filed under the name Opisthorchis viverrini. RNAcentral describes it as "Potassium channel RNA editing signal". The record is from RNAcentral. Lineage: Eukaryota; Metazoa; Platyhelminthes; Trematoda; Opisthorchiida; Opisthorchiidae.
GUUAUUCACAAUGAUGGGGAUAGGCAAGGCGAUUACAAGUACACCACAAAUAGAACACAUACAUCCGAUAAAUUUUCCGAGAGGAGAUUGUGGUGUCACGUCGCCGUAGCCAAC